Molecule: long non-coding RNA, 378 nt
Filed under: Nicotiana benthamiana
Lineage: Eukaryota; Viridiplantae; Streptophyta; Magnoliopsida; Solanales; Solanaceae
Description: long non-coding RNA (NBEN_LNC028986)
Source: RNAcentral
AUGGUAAUGUUCGAGAAGAAAUGAUUAUAAGCUCUGGGUUCUGCAUUCAUGCACAUUUAUCUCCUGUUACAAUUGCUCUAAGCAAAUCAGAAUUUGUGAAGUUAAAUGAUCUUCUGAGUCAAGUGAUUGAUAGGUUAUCUGGACUGGACCUUGUUCCUCGUGAUUCUGAAGAAGUGAGUUCUGACUCUCAAUCAUCAGUUCAGGACUGGACCUUGUUCCUCUUGAUACUGAAGAAGUGAGUUCUGUUUCUCAAUCAUCAGUUCUUGUUGAAUGUGAUUCCAUAACCAUAUCAAUUAAUGAGGAAGUUGUGGAGAAGAAUAAGAAGGGUUCGCUUCAGAAUGAAAUUACUGGUUCUUGGCAUAGCUUUAGACUGGAACU